RNAcentral lists this ribosomal RNA (582 nucleotides) under uncultured bacterium. Its description in RNAcentral is "partial 16S ribosomal RNA". It matches the Rfam family "Bacterial small subunit ribosomal RNA", at positions 355 to 938 of the family's 1533-position model. The record is from RNAcentral.
UGAGGAAUAUUGGUCAAUGGACGAGAGCCUGAACCAGCCAAGUCGCGUGAAGGAAGACUGCCUUAUGGGUUGUAAACUUCUUUUAUACAGGAAUAAAAAGGCUUACGUGUAGGCCAUUGCAAGUACUGUAUGAAUAAGCAUCGGCUAACUCCGUGCCAGCAGCCGCGGUAAUACGGAGGAUGCGAGCGUUAUCCGGAUUUAUUGGGUUUAAAGGGUGCGCAGGCGGGCUUUUAAGUCAGCGGUGAAAUCUGGACGCUUAACGUCCAAACUGCCGUUGAAACUGGGAGUCUUGAGUAUGGAUGAAGUAGGCGGAAUUCGUUGUGUAGCGGUGACAUGCAUAGAUAUAACGAGGAACUCCGAUUGCGUAGGCAGCUUACUAAGCCAUAACUGACGCUCAUGCACGAAAGCGUGGGGAUCAAACAGGAUUAGAUACCCUGGUAGUCCACGCCGUAAAACGAUGAUUACUAGUUGUAUGCGAUAUGAUAGUAUGUGACUAAGCGAAAGCGAUAAGUAAUCCACCUGGGGAGUACGCCGGCAACGGUGAAACUUAAAGGAAUUUGACGGGGGUCAUAGCUGUUUCCU